AUGGGCUGUAACACGGGUCUGACCGAGGGCUGUAACACAGGUCUGACCAACGGCUAUAAUAACACUGGUCCCUCUGAGGGCUAUAACACUGUCUGGGGCUCACAGACCUCCCCGUCCUCCCCAGCACCCUCCUCUCAUCUCUUGGUUUUCCUCUCCCUCCAGUCUAUGGUGCUGCUCCUCCACAGCCAGAGGCAAUACAUCUUUGAGUUUGACAAGAACGACCGCCUCUCUUCUGUGACCAUGCCCAACGUGGCUCGGCAGACACUGGAGACCAUCCGCUCAGUGGGUUACUACAGGAACAUCUACCAGCCCCCCGAGGGCAAUGCCUCAGUCAUCCAGGACUUCACCGAGGAUGGGCACCUCCUCCACACCUUCUACCUGGGCACCGGCCGCAGGGUGAUAUACAAGUAUGGCAAGCUGUCCAAGCUGGCCGAGCUACUGUAUGACACCACCAAGGUGAGCUUCACCUACGAUGAGACUGCUGGCAUGCUCAAGACCGUCAACCUACAGAACGAGGGCUUCACCUGCACCAUCCGCUACCGUCAGAUCGGGCCCCUGAUCGACCGCCAGAUCUUCCGCUUCACCGAGGAAGGCAUGGUCAAUGCCCGCUUUGACUACAACUAUGACAACAGCUUCCGGGUGACCAGCAUGCAGGCCGUGAUCAACGAGACCCCACUGCCCAUUGACCUGUAUCGCUAUGACGACGUGUCGGGCAAGACAGAGCAGUUCGGGAAGUUUGGUGUCAUCUACUAUGACAUUAACCAGAUCAUCACCACAACGGUCAUGACCCACACCAAGCACUUUGACGCCUACGGCCGAAUGAAGGAAGUGCAAUAUGAGAUCUUCCGCUCACUCAUGUACUGGAUGACCGUCCAGUAUGACAACAUGGGGCGAGUGGUGAAGAAGGAGCUGAAAGUAGGACCCUACGCCAACACCACCCGCUACUCCUAUGAGUAUGAUGCCGAUGGCCAGCUGCAGACGGUCUCCAUCAAUGACAAGCCACUCUGGCGAUACAGCUAUGACCUCAAUGGGAACCUGCACUUACUGAGCCCUGGAAAUAGUGCGCGGCUUACCCCACUACGGUACGACCUCCGCGACCGGAUCACCAGGCUGGGCGAUGUACAGUAUAAGAUGGACGAGGAUGGUUUCUUGAGGCAGCGAGGCAGCGAUGUCUUUGAGUACAACUCAGCCGGCCUGCUCAUCAAGGCCUACAACCGGGGUGGUGGCUGGAGCGUCAGGUACCGCUACGAUGGCCUGGGGCGACGGGUGUCCAGCAAGAGCAGCCAGAGUCACCACCUGCAGUUCUUCUAUGCAGACCUGACCAACCCUACCAAGGUCACCCACCUCUACAACCACUCCAGCUCUGAGAUCACAUCCCUCUACUACGACCUGCAAGGGCACCUCUUUGCCAUGGAGCUGAGCAGCGGAGACGAGUUUUACAUAGCUUGUGACAACAUCGGGACCCCUCUUGCUGUCUUCAGUGGGACGGGCUUAAUGAUCAAGCAGAUCCUGUACACGGCCUAUGGGGAAAUCUACAUGGACACCAACCCCAACUUCCAGAUCAUCAUUGGCUACCAUGGUGGCCUCUACGAUCCACUCACCAAGCUCGUCCACAUGGGCCGGCGGGAUUACGACGUGCUGGCUGGUCGCUGGACUAGCCCAGACCACGAGUUGUGGAAGCACCUUAGUAGCAACAACAUCAUGCCCUUUAAUCUCUACAUGUUUAAAAACAACAACCCCAUCAGCAACUCUCAGGACAUCAAGUGCUUCAUGACAGGUGAGGAUCAGGGCUCAUUCAGAGGGCAGGGACCUCGACUGUUCUGGUCAUUAGGAUCAUCUUUCUUGACAAAGCCAGUAUGGCCAUUUCCUUCAUCAAACAAGGGCAUCCUCUGUUCAGCCACUAUUUUAGGCACUGGGGAUAGAAAGACAAUCCUGGCCCUCCGAAAAUUCCCCUUGCAUGAGGCCAGACAGACACACGCUGUGAAGUGUGAGAGGCCCGGUGAAG
Molecule: non-coding RNA, 2005 nt
Organism: Odocoileus virginianus texanus
Lineage: Eukaryota; Metazoa; Chordata; Mammalia; Artiodactyla; Cervidae
Source: RefSeq, a predicted model, not a curated record